Molecule: ribosomal RNA, 422 nt
Filed under: uncultured bacterium
Lineage: Bacteria
Description: bacterial SSU rRNA
Rfam family: Bacterial small subunit ribosomal RNA
Source: RNAcentral
UGAGGAAUAUUGGGCAAUGCCCGCAAGGGUGACCCAGCAACGCCGCGUGGAGGAUGAAUGUCGUAAGAUUGUAAACUCCUGUUAGAGGGGAAGAAUAGUACCGGUUGGACCGGUAUAUGACUGUACCCUCAGAGAAAGCCCCGGCUAACUACGUGCCAGCAGCCGCGGUAAUACGUAGGGGGCAAGCGUUGUCCGGAUUUACUGGGUGUAAAGGGCGCGCAGGCGGGAUAAAAAGUCAGUGGUGAAAUCCUACAGCUCAACUGUAGAACUGCCUUUGAUACUUUUAUUCUUGAGUUCGGGAGAGAGAGACGGAAUUCCAGGUGUAGUGGUGAAAUACGUAGAUAUCUGGAAGAACACCAGUUGCGAAGGCGGUCUCUUGGUCCGACACUGACGCUGAGGCGCGAAAGCGUGGGGAGCAAACA